GGCCAGCAUCGGUUCGGAUGGUAAGAUAAUUGCGAUUGAAUGUGGCUCUUCGGAGUGUUAUAGCUUUCGUCGAUAUUGCCUGUCUGUACCGAGGCUGCGUCUUUUGACUAGGAUGCUGNCGUNAU
Molecule: ribosomal RNA, 125 nt
Filed under: Kuraishia capsulata
Lineage: Eukaryota; Fungi; Ascomycota; Pichiomycetes; Pichiales; Pichiaceae
Description: partial 26S ribosomal RNA
Source: RNAcentral